This 1092-nucleotide ribosomal RNA is filed under the name uncultured bacterium. RNAcentral's name for it is "bacterial SSU rRNA". It matches the Rfam family "Bacterial small subunit ribosomal RNA", at positions 304 to 1395 of the family's 1533-position model. The record is from RNAcentral.
UCCGCAACAAGGGGACUGAAACACGGCCAAAAUCCUACGGGAAGGAGCAGUGGGAUUUUGACCAGUGGCGCAAGCCUGAUCCAGCCAUGCGCGUGUCGAAGAGGCUUCGGGUUGUAAAGGAUUUGUCAGGNNANGAAAAGGGCGGGGGUAAUACCCCCUGUUCUGAUGACGUACCCUGAAGAAUAAGCACCCGCUAACUACGUGCCAGCAGCCGCGGUAAUACGUAGGGUGCGAGCGUUAAUCGGAAUUACUGGGCGUAAAGCGGGCGCAGACGGUUACUUAAGCAGGAUGUGAAAUCCCCGGGCUCAACCUGGGAACUGCGUUCUGAACUGGGUGACUAGAGUGUGUCAGAGGGAGGUAGAAUUCCACGUGUAGCAGUGAAAUGCGUAGAGAUGUGGAGGAAUACCGAUGGCGAAGGCAGCCUCCUGGGAUAACACUGACGUUCAUGCCCGAAAGCGUGGGUAGCAAACAGGAUUAGAUACCCUGGUAGUCCACGCCCUAAACGAUGUCGAUUAGCUGUUGGGCAGCAUGACUGCUUAGUAGCGAAGCUAACGCGUGAAAUCGACCGCCUGGGGAGUACGGUCGCAAGAUUAAAACUCAAAGGAAUUGACGGGGACCCGCACAAGCGGUGGAUGAUGUGGAUUAAUUCGAUGCAACGCGAAGAACCUUACCUGGUCUUGACAUGUACGGAACCCUCCAGAGACGGAGGGGUGCCUUCGGGAGCCGUAACACAGGUGCUGCAUGGCUGUCGUCAGCUCGUGUCGUGGGAUGUUGGGUUAAGUCCCGCAACGAGCGCAACCCUUGUCAUUAGUUGCCAUCAUUAAGUUGGGCACUCUAAUGAGACUGCCGGUGACAAGCCGGAGGAAGGUGGGGAUGACGUCAAGUCCUCAUGGCCCUUAUGACCAGGGCUUCACACGUCAUACAAUGGUCGGUACAGAGGGUAGCCAAGCCGCGAGGUGGAGCCAAUCUCACAAAACCAAUCGUAGUCCGGAUUGCACUCUGCAACUCGAGUGCAUGAAGUCGGAAUCGCUAGUAAUCGCAGGUCAGCAUACUGCGGUGAAUACGUUCCCCGGGUUCUUGUACACACCGGCC